RNAcentral lists this ribosomal RNA (253 nucleotides) under uncultured bacterium. RNAcentral describes it as "partial 16S ribosomal RNA". It matches the Rfam family "Bacterial small subunit ribosomal RNA", at positions 524 to 776 of the family's 1533-position model. The record is from RNAcentral.
UACGAAGGGGGCUAGCGUUGCUCGGAAUCACUGGGCGUAAAGCGCACGUAGGCGGCUUUCUAAGUCAGGGGUGAAAUCCUGGAGCUCAACUCCAGAACUGCCUUUGAUACUGGAGAGCUUGAGUCCGGAAGAGGUGAGUGGAACUCCGAGUGUAGAGGUGAAAUUCGUAGAUAUUGGGAAGAACACCAGUGGCGAAGGCGGCUAACUGGUCCAGCACUGACGCUGAGGUGCGAAAGCGUGGGGAGCAAACAGG